Long non-coding RNA from Sciurus carolinensis (gray squirrel), 3974 nucleotides. RefSeq lists it as uncharacterized. The record is from RefSeq and is a predicted model, not a curated record. Lineage: Eukaryota; Metazoa; Chordata; Mammalia; Rodentia; Sciuridae. The transcript has 4 exons.
UCCGGUCACCGUGUGAAAGUUCAGGGAGGUCGAAUGAUCCCUAGCCGAGUGUGACUCGGGCCGCGCCGUGUUUAAAGCCGGAUCUUACAAGUUGGAGACGCCGUGGGCACCGGCAUGGAAGCAAGGGGUGUGCGAGGAGCCAGUGACAUUCAAAGAUAUUCUUGUGGACUUCACUGAGGAUGAAUGGCAACAACUAAGUCCUCCACAGAGGAAACUGUACAGGGAAGUGAUGCUGGAGAAUUAGAGGAAUCUGAUCUAUGUGGAGUUAGAAGAGGAGGCAUGGAUGAUGAGGACAGCAUCCCUGAGAGGUGCUCAUCCAGGAAUAUCAACCAAAGUAUCUGGAAGUGGGAACACUGUGGUGGAUUAUCAAGAGGAAGUUGUAACAGACUUAGCAAACCAGGAACUUCUACCUUGGAAAAUCACAAGGAAGGUGCAUACCCAGGACUUUUUUUGUGACAGACUGCCUAAAUUUUGAGGGAAGCAGAGGCUUUUUAAUGACCCAAGAAGAGAUCAAGGAGAAAGCACUAUUGAGGAAAAACUAUUCAAUGGAAAUUGGUUCAAAGAAGUUCCAAGGUCAUAUUUCAUCUAACUUAGGAAGACAAACCUCUUCAUUAUUUGAGGAUGGGAUAAUAGGCCAAGAUAGACAUGUGGGAGAGCAUGCUGAACAGCUUGGCUGUGAGUUUUGUAAGAAUAAGACAAAUUACUCUUGGAAAAUAGUUUGUCAUUUGCAGUCACCAGAAGAAACUAUGCAGAAGUGAAAUGGAAUGACUUUGAAAGUGUCCUUAGGAAAAAUUCAAAUUUUGAAAGAAAUGAAAAUGUUCACAUGGUUGAUAUGCAAUGUAUACGUAUUCAGAGGAAUAAUAAUUUAAGUUUGAGUUAUCAUCACCAUAAUUACAGAGAAAACACAACAAAGAGAUCUUACAAAUGUAAUAAUUAUAGAAAUGACUUCAGUAGUAAAUCAAAACUAAAUUGACAUAUGAUGAUCCACACAGGGAAGAAACCUUAUAAAUGUGAUGAGUGUGGUAAGAAAUUUAGUGAUCAUACAAAUCUUCGUGUUCAUCAGAGAAUCCAUACAGGAGAAAAACCAUAUAAAUGUAGUAAGUGUGGUAAAGACUUCACUAGAAGUUCAGAUCUAGGUACACAUCAGAGGGUUCACAAAGGAGAGCGGCCAUAUAAGUGCAACGAAUGUGGAAAGGGCUUCAUUGCAAGCUCAAAACUCCUCAUUCAUAUGAGAAUUCAUACAGGAGAGAAGCCAUAUAAAUGUCAACAGUGUGGUAAGGGCUUUCCUAGGAAUUCAGAUCUGUUUAUUCAUCAAAGAGUGCACACAGGAGAGAAACCUUAUAAGUAUAAUGUUUGUGGUAAGGGCUUUAGUAGAAGCUCCAAACUCCACCUUCAUCAGAGAAUCCUUACAGGUGAGAAACCAUAUAAAUGUGAACAAUGUGGCAAAGAUUUCAGUAGGAGCUCCAAACUUCAUAUCCAUCAGAGAGUCCACACAGGGGAGAGACCUUAUAAAUGUGAGUGUGGUAAGGGCUUCACUCUUAGCACAAAUCUUUAUGCUCAUCAGUGGAUCCACACUGGAGAGAGACCAUAUAAGUGUAAAGAACGUGGAAAAGGCUUCAGUCCGAGUACAAAUCAUCGUGUUCAUCAGAGUUCACACAGGAGAGAAACCUUACAAAUGUGAAGAGUGUGGUAAAGACUUUAGUUUUAGCACAAAUCUUAGAGUUCAUCAGAGAGUUCACACUGGAGAGAGACCCUACAAAUGCAAUAAAUGUGGGAAGGGAUUCAUCCAGAGUUCAAAACUUCCUAUUCAUCAGAGAGUCCAUGUAGUAAAGAAUAUCUGAAUGUGAUUCUGAUUACAAUUUAAACCAGGAGGGAAAUCUUCUGGCAUAUCAGUACACAGUGACCCAGGAUAAAAAAUGCAACCAACACAGUAAAGAUGUCAACACAGAUUUUUAAUAUGAGAACCAUGGAAUUAAAAUUCGUUAUAAAAUUAUGGAAACUGUUUUGGCCAGAGGUCACAAUACCCUGUGUAAACAAUAUCUAGAUAAUACCUAGUAAAGAAACCCUGAAAACAGUCUCCCCCACUCCCUACACACACACACACACACACACACACACACACAAACACACACACACAGGUGUAUAUAUGCACCCAUAAGGUUUUGUGUGAGAAAACUUAGAUUUUAAGUUUUGUAUUUGCAAAAAAUUACAUAUGUAGCAAUCUUACAAAUGAAUUGGCAUAUCAUUUAAAGAAAGACUGUGAGACAAUACAGAUGAAGAAAUAAUUAGGCAACAACAAAAUAGUUGCAUGCAAUAAACCAAUGGAGAAAAGCCAUAGAUAUCCAUUUAAUCAAAAAGAGGCAUAAAAAUGGUCACAUGUAAUAAAUAAUUUCUACAUGCUUAAAAUAUGAAGUUGAUAGGAUGAUAGGCUUAAAGCUAACCAUAUAAAGAAAAAUAUUAAAUAUAAAUGGCCUAAGCAUGCCAAAGUAAAAGCAGAGAUAGAAGAGAGAAAUGUAAAAAACAAACUGAUUUUAAGAAAUGCACUUGAAGCAUAAACCUGCAUAUAUUAUAAACAAAAGUGUGUGAAAAAGUUAUAGUAUGCUGAUCUGAAUCAAAAGAAAGCCAGAGUGGCAAAAUAAUAAUAGGCAAAAUAAAUUUCAGGGCAAAUUAUAUUGCUAUGGAUAGAUUGAAAAUGAUAUGAUUAUCUCAACCAAAGCAGAAAAAUCAUUUGACAAAAAUUUCAAUCCCUGCUGAAAGUAUUCAACAUUCAGGAUAAUAAAGGAUCUGAUAAAAGGCAAAUAUGAAACUACAAUUAAUAUCAGCUGAUAUCAUUCUUAAUAGUUGAGGACUUAUGAUUUAAAAAAUCACAAGAUAUCUUCUCUCAACUUCUACUCAAAAGUAUUGGAGCUUAUAGCCAGUACAAUAAAGAAAACAAAAGGAAAAAAUUCCAGGAUGUCAAAUAAGUAAAACUGUAUUUGCAGAUGAUAUGAUUGCCAACACAAAAAGUUUCAUGGAAUUUCUAAACAAUUGCCUGGUUCAAUGUGGAAAGUAUGCCCAACACAUGCCCAGAGGUGCUCAGCAAGGACUGAGAGACUUACUAGUUCUAGGUGUUUAGGAAAUUCUCUAUCCAAUCAUUUACCCAAUGAUAAGUGAACUGAGCAAAGACUUCAUAGCUCAACAAAAUAUACAUACGUUACAGAUUUAGUUCAAAAAGUAACCUAAGUGAACAAUGAAAAAUAGUAACAAUAAGCCUGAGAGCAGAAUCUAAUUUCCAGAGUUGUCAUACUAUUUAAAGUGUCAGCUUUCCAACAAGGUAAUUAUGAGGCAUCCAAAGAAAUAAGAAAACAUUGCUGUGCUAGGGGCAGGUAGUUAGUAGAAAACUGUUUCUAAGAAAGUCUAGACAUUGAACUUCUUAGAAAAAUAUUCUAAAUCAAUAAUUUCAAAUCACAUUUAAUUGAACUAAAAGAAAGCAUGUCAGAACAAAGUUUGAGGGCAAUGUUCACAAACUACCAUUAAAGAAAUAGAAAUUUAAAAACUAAAACUUCGGAGUUUUCUACAAGAUUGGAAAUGAAUAACUCACUAUGGGGGCUAAGUAACAGAUUUGAAAUGUCAAAAAAGAAUCAAGUAACUUCAAGAGUCAGAGGAGUAGAGAGAAGGAAUGGCUGAAAACUUACCAAGUUUUAUAUUUAAAAAGUCUAAAAACCAAGAAACCCAACAAAUUCCAAAGAGGAUAAAAACUCAGAGAUAACUCCUAGAUACAUGAUAAAUAAAUUUUUAUGUAACUGACAUAAUACAAAUUAUGUUCUCCAACCACAAUGGGAUAAUAUUAGCAAUGAAGAAGAAAGCUUGGAAAAUUCAGAAAUAUAUAGAAAUUAAGGAACACACAACUAAAUGAACAAUGGGUCUCAGAAGAAAUCACAAAGGAAGUUAGAAAAAACUUAGAAGAAAAAGAAAACAAAACUGAUGUAAUGCAC